RNAcentral lists this ribosomal RNA (313 nucleotides) under Clostridioides difficile. RNAcentral describes it as "partial 23S ribosomal RNA". It matches the Rfam family "Bacterial large subunit ribosomal RNA", at positions 1 to 314 of the family's 2925-position model. The record is from RNAcentral. Lineage: Bacteria; Bacillati; Bacillota; Clostridia; Peptostreptococcales; Peptostreptococcaceae.
GGUCAAGUUAUUAAGGGUGCAGGGCGGAUGCCUUGGCACUAGGAGCCGAUGAAGGACGUGAUAAGCUGCGAUAAGCUUCGGGGAGUUGCACGUAAACUUUGAUCCGAAGAUUUCCGAAUGAGGAAACUCACUUAGAGUAAUGUCUAAGUAUCAUUAAGUGAAUACAUAGCUUAAUGAGGGGAACUCAGGGAACUGAAACAUCUAAGUACCUGAAGGAAGAGAAAGAAAUUCGAUUCCGUAAGUAGCGGCGAGCGAACGCGGAUUAGCCCAAACCAAUAAAGUUUUCUUUAUUGGGGUUGCGGACAUAUCAUAA